UCUAGCCAGAUAAUUACUCUUAAUAG
This 26-nucleotide unclassified non-coding RNA is filed under the name Mus musculus (house mouse). RNAcentral describes it as "oocyte_clustered_small_RNA8326". The record is from RNAcentral. Lineage: Eukaryota; Metazoa; Chordata; Mammalia; Rodentia; Muridae.